UACGUAGGUGGCAAGCGUUGUCCGGAUUUAUUGGGUUUAAAGGGUGCGUAGGCGGCCAAGUAAGUCAGUAGUGAAAUAUCUCAGCUCAACUGAGAGGGUGCUAUUGAUACUGCAGGGCUUGAGUACAGAUGAGGUAGGCGGAAUUGACGGUGUAGCGGUGAAAUGCAUAGAUAUCGUCAAGAACACCGAUAGCGAAGGCAGCUUACUAAGUUGUAACUGACGCUGAGGCACGAAAGUGUGGGGAUCAAACAGGAUUAGAAACCCCAGUAGUCC
RNAcentral lists this ribosomal RNA (273 nucleotides) under uncultured bacterium. RNAcentral describes it as "partial 16S ribosomal RNA". It matches the Rfam family "Bacterial small subunit ribosomal RNA", at positions 524 to 796 of the family's 1533-position model. The record is from RNAcentral.